Molecule: ribosomal RNA, 241 nt
Filed under: uncultured bacterium
Lineage: Bacteria
Description: partial 16S ribosomal RNA
Rfam family: Bacterial small subunit ribosomal RNA
Source: RNAcentral
GAUCCUGGCUCAGGACGAACGCUGGCGGCGCGCCUAACACAUGCAAGUCGAACGGAGUUAUUUUGACAGAAGCUUUCGGGCAGACGUUGAUAUAACUUAGUGGCGAACGGGUGAGUAACACGUGAGCAACCUGCCCUUCAGAGGGGGACAACAGUUGGAAACGACUGCUAAUACCGCAUAAGACCACGGUGUGGCAUCACACAGAGGUCAAAGGAGAAAUCCGCUGAAGGAUGGGCUCGCG